RNAcentral lists this ribosomal RNA (514 nucleotides) under uncultured bacterium. RNAcentral describes it as "partial 16S ribosomal RNA". It matches the Rfam family "Bacterial small subunit ribosomal RNA", at positions 28 to 523 of the family's 1533-position model. The record is from RNAcentral.
GAUGAACGCUGGCGGCGUGCCUAAUACAUGCAAGUCGAGCGAACAGAUGAGAAGCUUGCUUCUCUGAUGUUAGCGGCGGACGGGUGAGUAACACGUGGGUAACCUACCUAUAAGACUGGGAUAACUCCGGGAAACCGGGGCUAAUACCGGAUAAUAUUUUGAACCGCAUGGUUCAAUAGUGAAAGACGGUUUCGGCUGUCACUUAUAGAUGGACCCGCGCCGUAUUAGCUAGUUGGUAAGGUAACGGCUUACCAAGGCGACGAUACGUAGCCGACCUGAGAGGGUGGUCGGCCACACUGGGACUGAGACACGGUCCAGACUCCUACGGGAGGCAGCAGUAGGGAAUCUUCCGCAAUGGGCGAAAGCCUGACGGAGCAACGCCGCGUGAGUGAUGAGGGUCUUCGGAUCGUAAAACUCUGUUGUUAGGGAAGAACAAAUUUGUUAGUAACUGAACAAGUCUUGACGGUACCUAACCAGAAAGCCACGGCUAACUACGUGCCAGCCGCCGCAGUAA